CACGUGCUAAUCAGCUAGCCCCUAACAGAGUAGCUUUGGCAGUCCGUGAACCAAUAGUUGAUAACUUGCAACUAAUCAUACACGGGGUCUUGGGCAAAACCUAACGAAACAUUGGCCUUAGGCCUCCAAAAAAUUUGGAAAAAAUUACGUAGAAAAAAAUCUCCAAAAUUUUUUUUUAGAUCCCCAAAUUUACAAAAAAAAAAUUUUGCUGAAAUUUUUUAAAAACUGUCUACAGCCCCAUGAAUCUCAAGGCCGGCCCGGAUCA
RNAcentral lists this long non-coding RNA (265 nucleotides) under Brassica napus (rape). Its description in RNAcentral is "long non-coding RNA (BNAP_LNC020989)". Lineage: Eukaryota; Viridiplantae; Streptophyta; Magnoliopsida; Brassicales; Brassicaceae. The record is from RNAcentral.